ACAACAGGGAUUGCCCCAGUAACGGCGAGUGAAGCGGCAACAGCUCAAAUUUGAAAUCUGGGGUCGUGUGGGCCUCCGAGUUGUAGUUUGCAGAGGGAGCCUCGGAGGGCUUGUCGGUCCAAGUGCCUUGGAACAGGAUACCGCAGAGGGUGAGAGUCCCGUAUCCGGCCGACGUAGCGCUCCGUGUGAGGCCUCUUCGACGAGUCGAGUUGUUUGGGAAUGCAGCUCCAAGCGGGUGGUAAAUUCCAUCUAAAGCUAAAUACUGGCCAGAGACCGAUAGCGAACAAGUAGAGUGAUCGAAAGAUGAAAAGCACUUUGAAAAGAGAGUCAAACAGUACGUGAAAUUGUUGAAAGGGAAGCGCAUGGGGGCAGACUUGGUCGCGGGGUUCAGGGUGUCGUCUGGCGCCUGUACUUCCCCGCGGACAGGCCAGCAUCGGUUCUGGGGGCCGGACAAAGGCGACGGGAACGUGGCUCUCCUCGGAGAGUGUUAUAGCCCGACGUGCAAUGCGGCCACCUGGGACCGAGGACCGCGCAUUCGUGCAAGGAUGCUGGCGUAAUGGCCUCAUGCGGCCCGUCUUGAAACACGGACCAAGGAGUCUAACAUCUAUGCGAGUGUUUGGGUGUGAAGCCCGGACGCGCAAUGAAAGUGAACGGAGGUGGGAGCAUUCGUGCGCACCAUCGACCGAUCCGGACGUGUUCUGAAGGAUUUGAGUAAGAGCAUAGCUGUUGGGACCCGAAAGAUGGUGAACUAUGCGUGAAUAGGGUGAAGCCAGAGGAAACUCUGGUGGAGGCUCGCAGCGGUUCUGACGUGCAAAUCGAUCGUCAAAUUUGCGUAUAGGGGCGAAAGACUAAUCGAACCAUCUAGUAGCUGGGUCCUGC
RNAcentral lists this ribosomal RNA (879 nucleotides) under fungal sp. CBS 126070. RNAcentral describes it as "LSU rRNA". It matches the Rfam family "Eukaryotic large subunit ribosomal RNA", at positions 65 to 961 of the family's 3401-position model. Lineage: Eukaryota; Fungi. The record is from RNAcentral.